GAUGAAGAACGUAGCAAAAUGCGAUAAGUAAUGUGAAUUGCAGAAUUCAGUGAAUCAUCGAAUCUUUGAACGCACAUUGCGCCCGCUAGUAUUCUGGCGGACAUGCCUGUCCGAGCGUCAUUUCAACCCUCAAGCCCCCGGGCUUGGUGUUGGGGAUCGGCGAGCCUCCGCGCCCGCCGUCCCCUAAAUCUAGUGGCGGUCUCGCUGUAGCUUCCUCUGCGUAGUAGCACACCUCGCACUGGGAAACAGCGCGGCCACGCCGUUAAACCCCCAACUUCUGAACGUUUGACCUCGGAUCAGGUAGGAAUACCCGCUGAACUUAAGCAUAUCAAUAAGCGGAGGA
Molecule: unclassified non-coding RNA, 343 nt
Filed under: soil metagenome
Description: partial contains 5.8S ribosomal RNA, internal transcribed spacer 2, and large subunit ribosomal RNA
Rfam family: 5.8S ribosomal RNA (bases 1-120)
Source: RNAcentral